AAUGAACGCUGGCGACGCGCCUAACACAUGCAAGUCGAGCGAGAACGUAACUUCGGUUACUAGUACAGCGGCGAACGGGUGUGUAACACGUGAGAAUCUACCCAUUAGUGAUGGAUACCUUCAGGAAACUGAAGUUAAUACAGCAUACGACCCUUCGGGGAGAAAGGCGGCCUCUUUGCUGCCGCUGAUGGAUGAGCUCGCGGCCUAUUAGUUUGUUGGUGGGGUAAAGGCCUACCAAGACGAUGAUGGGUAGCCGGCCUGAGAGGGUGAUCGGCCACAUUGGGACUGAGAUACGGCCCAGACUCCUACGGGAGGCAGCAGUGAGGAAUUUUGCGCAAUGGACGAAAGUCUGACGCAGCGACGUCGCGUGGAGGAUGAAGGUUUUCGGAUCGUAAACUCCUGUUAAGUGGGAAGAAAAGCACAUGGUUAAUACCCAUGUGUCAUGACGGUACCACUAGAGAAAGCACCGGCUAACUUCGUGCCAGCAGCCGCGGUAAUACGAGGGGUGCAAGCGUUAUUCGGAAUUACUGGGCGUAAAGGGCGUGUAGGCGGCCUAUUAAGUCAGUUGUUAAAUCCCUCAGCCUAACUGAGGACUCGCGAUUGAUACUGGUAGGCUAGAGUGCAGAAGAGAGAGGUGGAAUUAUCGGAGUAGCGGUAAAAUGCGUAGAUCUCGAUAGGAACACCGAUGGCGAAGGCAGCCUCUUGGUCUGUGUCUGACGCUGAGGCGCGAAAGCGUGGGGAGCAAACAGGAUUAGAUACCCUGGUAGUCCACGCCGUAAACGAUGAUCACUAGAUGUGGCUUGAGCUUGCUCGGGCCGUGUCGCAGCUAACGCAUUAAGUGAUCCGCCUGGGAACUACGAUCGCAAGAUUAAAACUCAAAGGAAUUGACGGGGGUCCGCACAAGCGGUGGAACAUGUGGUUUAAUUCGACGCUACGCGAGUAACCUUACCUAGGUUUGACAUGCUUUUGACAUCCGUGGAAACACGGCUUUCCAAGUUUACUUGGACAAUUGCACAGGUGCUGCAUGGCUGUCGUCAGCUCGUGUCGUGAGAUGUUUGGUUAAGUCCUCUAACGAGCGCAACCCCUGCUGUCAGUUGCUAAUACUUCGGUAUGCACUCUGGCAGGACUGCCUGGGAAACCAGGAGGAAGGUGGGGGUGACGUCAAGUCCUCAUGGCCCUUAUACCUAGGGCUACACACGUGUUACAAUGGCUGGUACAAAGGGCAGCAACCCCGCGAGGGUGAGCUAAUCUCACAAAGCCAGUCUAAGUUCGGAUUGGAGUCUGCAACUCGACUCCAUGAAGUUGAAAUCGCUAGUAAUCGCGCAUCAUAUCGGCGCGGUGAAUACGUUCUCGGACCUUGUACACACCGCCCGUCACACCACGAAAAUCGUCUGUACCCAAAGCCAUCUUAGCUAACCUCGUAAGAGGAGGCGGGUGUCUAAGGUACGGGGGGUAAUUGGGGUG
This 1464-nucleotide ribosomal RNA is filed under the name uncultured bacterium. Its description in RNAcentral is "bacterial SSU rRNA". It matches the Rfam family "Bacterial small subunit ribosomal RNA". The record is from RNAcentral.